RNAcentral lists this ribosomal RNA (253 nucleotides) under Gemmataceae bacterium. RNAcentral's name for it is "partial 16S ribosomal RNA". It matches the Rfam family "Bacterial small subunit ribosomal RNA", at positions 524 to 776 of the family's 1533-position model. RNAcentral also lists the same sequence under 1 other name. The record is from RNAcentral. Lineage: Bacteria; Pseudomonadati; Planctomycetota; Planctomycetia; Gemmatales; Gemmataceae.
GACGAACCGUGCGAACGUUGUUCGGAAUCACUGGGCUUAAAGGGCGCGUAGGCGGGCUGACAAGUCUGGGGUGAAAUCCCACGGCUCAACCGUGGAACUGCCUUAGAUACUGUCGGCCUCGAGGAAGGUAGGGGCAUGCGGAACUAACGGUGGAGCGGUGAAAUGCGUUGAUAUCGUUAGGAACUCCGGUGGCGAAAGCGGCGUGCUGGACCUUUUCUGACGCUGAGGCGCGAAAGCUAGGGGAGCAAACGGG